UCAAGUGUCGUAAGAGCAUCUGGUGGAUGCCUUGGCGCUGAGAGGCGAUGAAGGACGUGGUACGCUGCGAUAAGCCUUGGGGAGCUGCGAACGAGCUUUGAUCCAGGGAUCUCCGAAUGGGGAAACCCCCCUUCGACCCUUUGUAUUGUGACGGCAUCCGAGAGAGCGAUCUUGGGGGUGGCGUUGCACUACGGAGGGUCAGAUGAAGGGAUUAGAUCCUGAAUACAUAGGGGUUUAAGGCGAACCCGGGGAACUGAAACAUCUAAGUACCCGGAGGAAAGGACAUCAAACGAGACUCCGUUAGUAGUGGCGAGCGAACGCGGACCAGGCCAAUGCCAACCUGAUCGUCACCGGAACCGUCUGGAAAGUCGGGCAUGACGGGUGAUAGCCCCGUACGGAACAGCGUGAUGGUUGGAUAUGAGUAGGGCGGGACACGUGCAAUCCUGUCUGAACAUGGGGGGACCACCCUCCAAGCCUAAGUACUCCUCAGCGACCGAUAGUGAACCAGUACCGUGAGGGAAAGGUGAAAAGCACCCCGACGAGGGGAGUGAAACAGUUCCUGAAACCGGAUGCUUACAAACAGUCGGAGCCCAAGGUUCGUCCUGGGUGACGGCGUACCUUUUGUAUAAUGGGUCAGCGACUUAAAGUAACGAGCAAGCUUAAGCCGAUAGGUGGAGGCGCAGCGAAAGCGAGUCUGAACAGGGCGUUUUUUAGUUCGUUGCUUUAGACCCGAAACCGGGUGAUCUAGCCAUGAGCAGGUUGAAGGUGCGGUAACACGCACUGGAGGACCGAACCGGUGCCUGUUGAAAAAGUCUCGGAUGACUUGUGGCUAGGGGUGAAAGGCCAAUCAAACUCGGAAAUAGCUGGUUCUCCGCGAAAGCUAUUUAGGUAGCGCCUCGCGUGAAUCCCCCAGGGGGUAGAGCACUGGAUGGGCUAGGGCCGCCCACAGCGGUACCAAACCUAACCAAACUCCGAAUACCUGGGAGGAGUGCGCGGGAGACACACGGCGGGUGCUAACGUCCGUCGUGGAGAGGGAAACAACCCUGACCUACAGCUAAGGCCCCCAAUUCGUGGCUAAGUGGGAAAGGAUGUGGGAAUCCCAAAACAACCAGGAGGUUGGCUUAGAAGCAGCCAUCCUUUAAAGAAAGCGUAACAGCUCACUGGUCUAAACAAGGGUUCCUGCGCCGAAAAUGUAACGGGGCUCAAGCCACGAGCCGAAGCUUAGGGUGCAUCGCAAGAUGCGCGGUAGCGGAGCGUUCCGUAAGUCUGCGAAGGCGGACCCGUGAGGGCUGCUGGAGAUAUCGGAAGUGCGAAUGCUGACAUGAGUAACGACAAACAGUGUGAAAGACACUGUCGCCGAAAGUCCAAGGGUUCCUGCGUAAAGUUAAUCUUCGCAGGGUUAGCCGGCCCCUAAGGCGAGGCCGAAAGGCGUAGUCGAUGGGAAGCACGCUUAAUAUUCGUGCGCCAGUGAGAGGUGACGGAUCCUUAUCGUCGUUCGAGCUUAUCGGAUUGCUCGGGCGGCUUCCGGGUCCCAGGAAAUAGCCCUCACAUCAGACCGUACCCGAAACCGACACAGGUGGACUGGUAGAGUAUACCAAGGCGCUUGAGAGAACUAUGUUGAAGGAACUCGGCAAUUUACCUCCGUAACUUCGGGAUAAGGAGGCCUUCCGUUUGGGCAACCAGGCGGGAGGGGCACAGACUAGGGGGUGGCGACUGUUUACCUAAAACACAGGACUCUGCGAAGUCGCGAGACGACGUAUAGGGUCUGACGCCUGCCCGGUGCCGGAAGGUUAAGAGGAGAGGUUCACGCUUUGAAUCGAAGCCCCGGUAAACGGCGGCCGUAACUAUAACGGUCCUAAGGUAGCGAAAUUCCUUGUC
RNAcentral lists this ribosomal RNA (1878 nucleotides) under Microvirga calopogonii. RNAcentral's name for it is "bacterial LSU rRNA". It matches the Rfam family "Bacterial large subunit ribosomal RNA", at positions 1 to 1973 of the family's 2925-position model. Lineage: Bacteria; Pseudomonadati; Pseudomonadota; Alphaproteobacteria; Hyphomicrobiales; Methylobacteriaceae. The record is from RNAcentral.